GAUGAACGCUGGCGGCGUGCCUAAUACAUGCAAGUCGAACGAAACUUCUCUAUCACCGAGUGCUUGCCCUCACCGAUAAAGAGUUGAGUGGCGAACGGGUGAGUAACACGUGGGCAACCUGCCCAAAAGAGGGGGAUAACACUUUGAAACAGGUGCUACUACCGCAUAACCAUAGUUACCGCAUGGCAACUAUGUAAAAGGUGCCUGUACUACCGCUUCUGGAUGGGCCCGCGGCGCAUUAGCGAGUUGGUAGGGUAUAGGCUUACUAAGGCAAUGAUGCGUAGCCGAAGUGAGAGGGUGAUCGGCCACAUUGGGACUGAGACACGGCCCAAACUCCUACGGGAGGCAGCAGUAGGGAAUCUUCCACAAUGGGCGAAAGCCUGAUGGAGCAACGCCGCGUGGGUGAAGAAGGUCUUCGGAUCGUAAAACCCUGUUGUUAGAGAAGAAAGUGCGUGAGAGUAACUGUUCACGUUUCGACGGUAUCUAACCAGAAAGCCACGGCUAACUACGU
RNAcentral lists this ribosomal RNA (511 nucleotides) under uncultured bacterium. Its description in RNAcentral is "partial 16S ribosomal RNA". It matches the Rfam family "Bacterial small subunit ribosomal RNA", at positions 28 to 506 of the family's 1533-position model. The record is from RNAcentral.